CUUUCAGCAUGAUCUUUGAGAGUAUUUUCUGCAUUCCGCUAUCAAGACCAUGGUGAGAGUC
RNAcentral lists this microRNA precursor (61 nucleotides) under Octopus vulgaris (common octopus). RNAcentral's name for it is "Ovu-Mir-12540_pre stem-loop". The record is from RNAcentral. RNAcentral also lists the same sequence under 1 other name. Lineage: Eukaryota; Metazoa; Mollusca; Cephalopoda; Octopoda; Octopodidae.